AACGAACGCUGGCGGCAUGCCUAACACAUGCAAGUCGAACGAGACCUUCGGGUCUAGUGGCGCACGGGUGCGUAACGCGUGGGAACCUGCCCUUAGGUUCGGAAUAACUCCCCGAAAGGGGUGCUAAUACCGGAUAAUGUCUUCGGACCAAAGAUUUAUCGCCUUUGGAUGGGCCCGCGUUGGAUUAGCUAGUUGGUAGGGUAAAAGCCUACCAAGGCGACGAUCCAUAGCUGGUCUGAGAGGAUGAUCAGCCACACUGGGACUGAGACACGGCCCAGACUCCUACGGGAGGCAGCAGUGGGGAAUAUUGGACAAGGGGCGAAAGCCUGAGCCAGCAAUGCCGCGUGAGUGAUGAAGGCCUUAGGGUUGUAAAGCUCUUUUACCCGGGAUGAUAAUGACAGUACCGGGAGAAUAAGCGCCGGCUAACUCCGUG
Molecule: ribosomal RNA, 433 nt
Filed under: uncultured bacterium
Lineage: Bacteria
Description: partial 16S ribosomal RNA
Rfam family: Bacterial small subunit ribosomal RNA
Source: RNAcentral